UACGUAGGGGGCAAGCGUUGUCCGGAAUCAUUGGGCGUAAAGAGCGUGUAGGCGGCCAGAUAAGUCCGCUGUGAAAUCUCGAGGCUCAACUUCGAGCUGUCGGUGGAAACUGUCUGGCUAGAGUCCGGAAGAGGAGAAUGGAAUUCCUGGUGUAGCGGUGAAAUGCGCAGAUAUCAGGAAGAACACCCGUGGCGAAGGCGGUUCUCUGGGACGGUACUGACGCUGAUGAGCGAAAGCUAGGGGAGCAAACGGG
Molecule: ribosomal RNA, 253 nt
Filed under: uncultured bacterium
Lineage: Bacteria
Description: partial 16S ribosomal RNA
Rfam family: Bacterial small subunit ribosomal RNA
Source: RNAcentral